CAUGCAAGUCGAGGGGUAACAGGGAUUGCUUGCAAUCCGCUGACGACCGGCGAACGGGUGCGUAACGCGUAUGCAACCUACCUUUUACUGGGGGAUAGUCAAGAGAAAUUUUGAAUAAUAUCCCAUACGAUCAUUUAUUUGCAUAAAUAGAUGAAGAAAACUCCGGUGGUAAAAGAUGGGCAUGCGUCCUAUUAGUUUGUUGGUGAGGUAACGGCUCACCAAGACUACGAUAGGUAGGGGUCCUGAGAGGGAGACCCCCCACACUGGUACUGAGACACGGACCAGACUCCUACGGGAGGCAGCAGUGAGGAAUAUUGGACAAUGGAGGAAACUCUGAUCCAGCCAUGCCGCGUGCAGGAAGACGGCCCUAUGGGUUGUAAACUGCUUUUAUACAGGAAGAAACGUCAGUACGUGUACUGACCUGACGGUACUGUAAGAAUAAGGAUCGGCUAACUCCGUGCCAGCAGCCGCGGUAAUACGGAGGAUCCAAGCGUUAUCCGGAAUUAUUGGGUUUAAAGGGUCCGCAGGCGGUCUGAUAAGUCAGAGGUGAAAUACUAUCGCUCAACGAUAGAACUGCCUUUGAUACUGUUAGACUUGAGUUAUUGUGAAGUAAUUAAAAUGUGUAGUGUAGCGGUGAAAUGCAUAUAUAUUACACAGAAUACCGAUUGCGAAGGCACAU
Molecule: ribosomal RNA, 679 nt
Filed under: uncultured Bacteroidota bacterium
Lineage: Bacteria; Pseudomonadati; Bacteroidota
Description: bacterial SSU rRNA
Rfam family: Bacterial small subunit ribosomal RNA
Source: RNAcentral